RNAcentral lists this unclassified non-coding RNA (433 nucleotides) under soil metagenome. RNAcentral describes it as "partial contains 5.8S ribosomal RNA, internal transcribed spacer 2, and large subunit ribosomal RNA". The stretch from base 1 to 120 matches the Rfam family "5.8S ribosomal RNA", at positions 35 to 154 of the family's 154-position model. The record is from RNAcentral.
GAUGAAGAACGUAGCGAAAUGCGAUACGUAAUGUGAAUUGCAGAAUUCAGUGAAUCAUCGAAUCUUUGAACCCAUAUUGCGCUCUCUGGUAUUCCGGAGAGCAUGCUUGUUUGAGUAUCAGUAAACACCUCAACUUCCAUAUCUUUUUUGAAAUGGGAGUUGGACUUGAGUGAUCCCAACGCUUUUCCUCACCGAAAAGUGGCGGGUUACUUGAAAUGCAGGUGCAGCUGGACUUUUCUCUGAGCUAUAAGCAUAUCUAUUUAGUCUGCCUAAAAAACAGAUUAUUACCUUUGCUGCAGCUAACAUAAAGGAGAUUAGUUCUUGUGCUGACUGAUGCAGGAUUCACAAAGACAGGCUUCGGCCGACUUUGUAAACUCGAUCUCAAAUCAAGUAAGACUACCCGCUGAACUUAAGCAUAUCAAUAAGCGGAGGA